This is a non-coding RNA of Linepithema humile (Argentine ant), 648 nucleotides long. NCBI's taxonomy places the organism in Eukaryota, Metazoa, Arthropoda, Insecta, Hymenoptera, Formicidae. The record is from RefSeq and is a predicted model, not a curated record.
AGAAUUAUUAAUGGAUAAGGAUAAAAAUCUUUUUAGAAAUGAGAAUGAGACUGGUGGAAAUAGCACUAUUGAAGAAAGUACCUACGAGAAAGAAAAUAUUGAUGAAAAUCUUGAGGAACACAUUGAUAUCGAUAAACUAGAUGAAGAUUUAAUAAGUGCAGUAAAAGAAAGACCAGCAUUAUAUGAUUUUCGCAUACCGGUGAAAGAGCGAGGAAGGAAACAAAAAGACAGCUUAUGGCAAGAAGUCAGCGUACGUUUGAAAGGUUUAUAUACCGCUACUGAAGCGGAAAAACGAUGGACCUAUUUAAAAGAUUGUUAUAGGAAAGCAAGAAAUAUAUUUAAAAAAAAACAAAGUAUUGUGCAAAAAAGUGGUGCGGCUGGUAUAUCAAAAAAUAUGAAAUGAAACCGUCCUUUCGUCACUACAAUGUAAUGAAUUUUUUAAAUGAUAUGUUGGAAUAUCGACAAACCGUAACGUCUUUAAGAUCAAUGUGUGAAGAGCAAGCUUCAAGUUGCAACAGCAUUCCUUCCACAUCAACAAGCAGCGUGGAUGAUGUUCUGACUCCUAUCACUGAUGAUAAUACUUCCACAUCACUGUCUCCAGUCUUACCGAAAUCACGAAAAAAAAAGAGGAUUGAUUUAGACGAAUAC